This 440-nucleotide ribosomal RNA is filed under the name uncultured Alphaproteobacteria bacterium. Its description in RNAcentral is "bacterial SSU rRNA". It matches the Rfam family "Bacterial small subunit ribosomal RNA", at positions 55 to 541 of the family's 1533-position model. The record is from RNAcentral. Lineage: Bacteria; Pseudomonadati; Pseudomonadota; Alphaproteobacteria.
AUGCAAGUCGAACGCAGUAGCAAUACUGAGUGGCAAACGGGUGAGUAUAAUGUGGGAAUCUGCCUUUUGGUUCGGAAUAACACGAGGAAACUUGUGCUAAUACCGGAUAAGCCCUUACGGGGAAAGUUUUAAUGCCAAAAGAUGAGCCCGCACUUGAUUAGCUAGUUGGUAAGGUAAUGGCUUACCAAGGCAACGAUCAAUAGCUGUUCUUAGAGGAAGACCAGCCACAUUGGGACUGAGACACGGCCCAAACUCCUACGGGAGGCAGCAGUGGGGAAUCUUGCACAAUGGGGGAAACCCUGAUGCAGCGAUGCCGCGUGAGUGAAGAAGGCCCUUGGGUUGUAAAACUCUUUCGUCGGGGAAGAAAAUGACUGUACCCGAAUAAGAAGGUCCGGCUAACUUCGUGCCAGCAGCCGCGGUAAUACGAAGGGACCUAGCGU